UGGCUCAGAGCGAACGUUAGCGGCAGGCUUAACACAUGCAAGUCGAGCGAGAAGGGGCUUCGGCUCCGAGUAAAGCGGCGGACGGGUGCGUAACACGUGGAUAAUCUGCCUCGUGGCGGGGGACAACAGUCCGAAAGGACUGCUAAUACCGCAUGUCAGGUCGGAAACUCCGGUUUCUGACGAAAAAGAGGGCGUCCGCAAGGAGCUCUCACCACGAGAUGAGUCCGCGUCCCAUCAGCUAGUUGGCGGUGUAAAGGCCUACCAAGGCGACGAUCCGUAGCGGGUCUGAGAGGAUGAUCCGCCACACUGGGACUGAGACACGGCCCAGACUCCUACGGGAGGCAGCAGUGGGGAAUUUUGGACAAUGGGCGGAAGCCUGAUCCAGCCAUGCCGCGUGAGUGAAGAAGGCCUUCGGGUUGUAAAAGCUCUUUCGGCGGGGAAGAAAUUGCACGGGUUAAUACCCUGUGUAGAUGACGGUACCCGAAUAAGAAGCACCGGCUAACUACGUGCC
This 511-nucleotide ribosomal RNA is filed under the name uncultured bacterium. Its description in RNAcentral is "bacterial SSU rRNA". It matches the Rfam family "Bacterial small subunit ribosomal RNA", at positions 20 to 509 of the family's 1533-position model. The record is from RNAcentral.